Long non-coding RNA from Beta vulgaris subsp. vulgaris (sugar beet), 1078 nucleotides. RefSeq lists it as uncharacterized. The record is from RefSeq and is a predicted model, not a curated record. The transcript is spliced from 3 exons. Lineage: Eukaryota; Viridiplantae; Streptophyta; Magnoliopsida; Caryophyllales; Amaranthaceae.
AGUUAGGCAUGUUCCACUGAUGACAAAGAAUCUGAUAUCUUUGAUUCUUCUUGAUAGCAUGCAAUGGUUUCAGUUUUCAAGGUGAAGGUGGAGUUAUGAGUGUUUACAAAGGUUCAAAGGUGGUUAUGAGAGGUAUUAAAAAUGGUACCUUAUAUAUUCUUCAAGGUUCUACUGUGACAGGUUCUGCUGCUGUUGUAACACUCCGAUUUUUGAAACAGUUUAUUAUUUAUUUCAUUAACUAUAUUAUAUAUUUUAGUUUAUUUAAUAAUUAAAUUCAUUUAUCUAUUAGGAAUUAUUUUGUAAAUAAUAUAUAUGCUUAUAGUGGGACAAGUUUAGUAAGUAAUUUAACUAAUAAUAGUAAUAAGAGGAUAUAUACUCACAUAUAUUUAAGAAGGGGGAAAAGGAAAAAAAAAAUACAAGAAAAGAAAAAGGAAAGAAAAAAAAAUAACAAACGUACAAAAGAACGACAUUCACCACCGUUCAUCUUCGUUAUCUUCACCAUCUUCACCAAUUUCUUCUCUCAAAAUUCUCCCUUCAUCACACAACCACCACCGUGCCGACGACACAACCACAACCGCCACUAGAGGUGACGCCAUAGAAGUAGGCGGCGCAAGGAAGAAAAGGGGGGUCGUCGUUACGUUGCUGUAAUUUGGAGCAUUUGGUGCUCGAAUUAGGGGCGUUUGCAAGUUAUUUCUCAUCCCCAAUCAUCUAUAUUAGUGGAUUCCGGUUUCAUUGAGGAGCCGUAUUGACUGAGCUAGUUGGUUUGAUAUAGUUUAAAAGGUACAUGAAGGCUUAGAGUCGGGGUAUGGGCGGAGAGCAACGUCCACUAGUUUUGCGUAAAUAUAAUUAUAAUAGUUCUGUUCUGGUGCAUUUCUUAUAUAUAAUCAAUAUUUUGAGACUUAGGGUUGUAAAUAUUAAUCCACCUAAAUCUUUAUUCGGUUGGGUUGUAAUAGUUUAAAAUAACUUUAAAUUAGUUUUGGUGCAGGUAGUUCUUCCUUAGCGAUUAUUCUCGUAAUAAUCGUGGAAUAACACGUUUGGAUUUCGAGUAGUUAUACAGGAAUUUCGUUGGUAUUUGAAA